UACGUAGGGGGCGAGCGUUGUCCGGAUUUAUUGGGCGUAAAGAGCUCGUAGGCGGCUUGGCAAGUCGGGUGUGAAACCUCCAGGCUCAACCUGGAGACGCCACUCGAUACUGCUAUGGCUAGAGUCCGGUAGGGGACCACGGAAUUCCUGGUGUAGCGGUGAAAUGCGUAGAGAUCUGGAGGAACACCGAUGGCGAAGGCAGCCCCCUGGGCUAACACUGACGCUCAUGCACGAAAGCGUGGGGAGCAAACAGG
RNAcentral lists this ribosomal RNA (254 nucleotides) under uncultured bacterium. RNAcentral's name for it is "partial 16S ribosomal RNA". It matches the Rfam family "Bacterial small subunit ribosomal RNA", at positions 524 to 776 of the family's 1533-position model. The record is from RNAcentral.